This 358-nucleotide unclassified non-coding RNA is filed under the name soil metagenome. Its description in RNAcentral is "partial contains 5.8S ribosomal RNA, internal transcribed spacer 2, and large subunit ribosomal RNA". The stretch from base 1 to 120 matches the Rfam family "5.8S ribosomal RNA", at positions 35 to 154 of the family's 154-position model. The record is from RNAcentral.
GAUGAAGAACGUAGCGAAAUGCGAUAAGUAAUGUGAAUUGCAGAAUUCAGUGAAUCAUCGAAUCUUUGAACGCACAUUGCGCCCGUCAGUAUUCAGGCGGGCAUGCCUGUUCGAGCGUCAUUACGCCCCUCAAGUCCCCUGUGGACUUGGUGUUGGGGAUCGGCGAGGCUGGUUUUCCAGCACAGCCGUCCCUUAAAUUAAUUGGCGGUCUCGCCGUGGCCCUCCUCUGCGCAGUAGUAAAACACUCGCAACAGGAGCCCGGCGCGGUCCACUGCCGUAAAACCCCCCAACUUUUUAUAGUUGACCUCGAAUCAGGUAGGACUACCCGCUGAACUUAAGCAUAUCAAUAAGCGGAGGA